This 1093-nucleotide ribosomal RNA is filed under the name Capsosira brebissonii S23. RNAcentral's name for it is "bacterial SSU rRNA". It matches the Rfam family "Bacterial small subunit ribosomal RNA", at positions 376 to 1484 of the family's 1533-position model. The record is from RNAcentral. Lineage: Bacteria; Bacillati; Cyanobacteriota; Cyanophyceae; Nostocales; Capsosiraceae.
CGAAAGCCUGACGGAGCAAUACCGCGUGAGGGAGGAAGGCUCUUGGGUUGUAAACCUCUUUUCUCUGGGAAUAAAAAAGAAGGUACCAGAGGAAUAAGCAUCGGCUAACUCCGUGCCAGCAGCCGCGGUAAUACGGAGGAUGCAAGCGUUAUCCGGAAUGAUUGGGCGUAAAGCGUCCGCAGGUGGCAUUGAAAGUCUGCUGUCAAAGAGUCUGGCUCAACCAGAUAAAGGCAGUGGAAACUAGAAAGCUAGAGUGCGUUCGGGGUAGAGGGAAUUCCUGGUGUAGCGGUGAAAUGCGUAGAGAUCAGGAAGAACACCGGUGGCGAAGGCGCUCUACUAGGCCGCAACUGACACUGAGGGACGAAAGCUAGGGGAGCGAAUGGGAUUAGAUACCCCAGCAGUCCUAGCUGUAAACGAUGGAUACUAGGCGUUGCUUGUAUCGACCCGAGCAGUGCCGUAGCUAACGCGUUAAGUAUCCCGCCUGGGGAGUACGCACGCAAGUGUGAAACUCAAAGGAAUUGACGGGGGCCCGCACAAGCGGUGGAGUAUGUGGUUUAAUUCGAUGCAACGCGAAGAACCUUACCAAGGCUUGACAUGUCGCGAAUCAGGGGGAAACUUCUGAGUGCCUUCGGGAGCGCGAACACAGGUGGUGCAUGGCUGUCGUCAGCUCGUGUCGUGAGAUGUUGGGUUAAGUCCCGCAACGAGCGCAACCCUCGUUUUUAGUUGCCAGCAUUAAGUUGGGCACUCUAAAGAGACUGCCGGUGACAAACCGGAGGAAGGUGGGGAUGACGUCAGGUCAGCAUGCCCCUUACGUCCUGGGCUACACACGUACUACAAUGCGACGGACAGAGGGCAGCAAGCUAGUGAUAGCAAGCAAAUCCCGUAAACCGGCGCUCAGUUCAGAUCGAAGGCUGCAACUCGCCUUCGUGAAGGUGGAAUCGCUAGUAAUUGCAGGUCAGCAUACUGCAGUGAAUUCGUUCCCGGGCCUUGUAUACACCGCCCGUCACACCAUGGAAGCUGGUAGUGCCCGAAGUCAUUACCCCAACCUUUCGAGGAGGGGGAUGCCUAAGGCAGGACUGGUGACUGGGGUGAA